UACGUAGGUGGCCAGCGUUGUCCGGAUUUAUUGGGGUUAAAGGGUGCGUAGGCUGCCUUGUAAGUCAGUGCUGAAAUAUCCCGGCUUAACCGGGAGGGUGGCAUUGAUACUGCAGGGCUUGAGUAAAGUUGAGGUUGGCGGAAUUGACGGUGUAGCGGUGAAAUGCUUAGAUAUCGUCAAGAACACCGAUAGUGAAGACAGCUAACUAAGCUUUAACUGACGCUGAGGCACGAAAGUGUGGGGAUCAAACAGG
RNAcentral lists this ribosomal RNA (253 nucleotides) under uncultured bacterium. Its description in RNAcentral is "partial 16S ribosomal RNA". It matches the Rfam family "Bacterial small subunit ribosomal RNA", at positions 524 to 776 of the family's 1533-position model. The record is from RNAcentral.